UGGUUUGAUGUGCAACCCUAAUCUUGCCAACUUCCCUUCUCUUCACAAUCUCUUUUAAGGUGGGACCACAUGAUGAACGGCCCAUAUUGAAGGUGGGGCUCCAUGUCAUGAAUGGUCCACAUCAAGGUGGGCCCCACAUGAUGGAUGAUCCAAAUCAAGCAGGCCCCACCCAAUGGAUGGUCCACAUCGAAGGCAGGACCAGAUGAUGGAAUGUUGACGUCAAAGGUGGGCCCACAUGAUGAAUGGCCCAUAUUGAAGGUUGGGCCCCACAUGAUGCACGGUCCACAACAAAGGUGGGACCCACAUGAUGGAUGGUGAACAUCAAAGGUGGAUCCCACAUGAUGGAUGGCCCAAAUCAAAAUGUGGGCCCGCAUGAUGAAUGGUCCACAUGAAGGUGGGCCCACAUAAUGCACUGCUCACAUCAAAGGUGGGGCCCACAUGAUAGAUGACGCACAUCAAAGUGUGGUCCAACAUGAUGGACCAUCCGUGUUAAAUGGGCCCCACUUGGUGGACAGUCCGCAUCAAAGGUGGGCCCACGUGAUAGAUGGUUGACAUCAAAGGUGAACCCACAUGAUGAACGACCUGUAUUGAAGGUGGGGCCCCACAUAAUGAAUGGUUC
Magnolia sinica is the source of this 619-nucleotide long non-coding RNA. RefSeq lists it as uncharacterized. The transcript has 4 exons. The record is from RefSeq and is a predicted model, not a curated record. NCBI's taxonomy places the organism in Eukaryota, Viridiplantae, Streptophyta, Magnoliopsida, Magnoliales, Magnoliaceae.